This 406-nucleotide ribosomal RNA is filed under the name uncultured bacterium. RNAcentral describes it as "partial 16S ribosomal RNA". It matches the Rfam family "Bacterial small subunit ribosomal RNA", at positions 29 to 526 of the family's 1533-position model. The record is from RNAcentral.
AUUGAACGCUGGCGGCAGGCCUAACACAUGCAAGUCGAACGAGUGGCGGACGGGUGAGUAAUGUAUGGGAAACUGCCCGAUGGAGGGGGAUAACUACUGGAAACGGUAGCUAAUACCGCAUACCAUCGGAUGUGCCCAGAUGGGAUUAGCUAGUAGGUGGGGUAACGGCUCACCUAGGCGACGAUCCCUAGCUGGUCUGAGAGGAGGACAAGCCAAACUGGAACGGAGACACGGUCCAGACUCCUACGGGAGGCAGCAGGGGGGAAGAUUGCACAAUGGGCGCGAGCCGGAUGCAGCCAGGCCGCGUGUAUGAAGGAGGCCUUCGGGUUUUAAUGUACUUUCAGCGAGGAGGCGUUACUCGCAGAAGAAGCACCGGCUAACUCCGUGCCAGCAGCCGCGGUAAUUC